RNAcentral lists this ribosomal RNA (496 nucleotides) under uncultured bacterium. RNAcentral describes it as "partial 16S ribosomal RNA". It matches the Rfam family "Bacterial small subunit ribosomal RNA", at positions 29 to 507 of the family's 1533-position model. The record is from RNAcentral.
AUGCACGCUGGCGGCGUGCCUAAUACCUGCCAGUCGAGCGAACGGACGAGAAGCUUGCUUUUCUGAUGUUAGCGGCGGACGGGUGAGUAACACGUGGAUAACCUACCUAUAAGACUGGGAUAACUUCGGGAAACCGGAGCUAAUACCGGAUAAUAUUUUGAACCGCAUGGUUCAAAAGUGAAAGACGGUCCUGCUGUCACUUAUAGAUGGAUCCGCGCUGCAUUAGCUAGUUGGUAAGGUAACGGCUUACCAAGGCAACGAUGCAUAGCCGACCUGAGAGGGUGAUCGGCCACACUGGAACUGAGACACGGUCCAGACUCCUACGGGAGGCAGCAGUAGGGAAUCUUCCGCAAUGGGCGAAAGCCUGACGGAGCAACGCCGCGUGAGUGAUGAAGGUCUUCGGAUCGUAAAACUCUGUUAUUAGGGAAGAACAUAUGUGUAAGUAACUGUGCACAUCUUGACGGUACCUAAUCAGAAAGCCACGGCUAACUACGUG